Molecule: long non-coding RNA, 847 nt
Organism: Oncorhynchus tshawytscha (Chinook salmon)
Lineage: Eukaryota; Metazoa; Chordata; Actinopteri; Salmoniformes; Salmonidae
Source: Ensembl
AGAUGUGUUGAUACAUGGGGAGACAGAUGGACAUCUGUGGAUUAGGUGAAGGAGGGGUUGAGGUCAGGAGGUGAGGACAGAGAUGUGUUGAUACAGGGGAGACAGAUGGACAUCUGUGGAUUAGGUGAAGGAGGGGUUGAGGUCAGGACAGAGAUGUGUUGAUACAUGGGAGAGGCAGAUGGACACCUGUGGAUUAGGUGAAGGAGGGGUUGAGGUCAGGAGGUGAGGACAGAGAUGUGUUGAUACAUGGGGAGACAGAUGGACAUCUGUGGAUUAGGUGAAGGAGGGGUUGAGGUCAGGACAGCGAUGUGUUGAUACAGGGAGACAGAUGGUCAUCUGUGGAAUAGGUGAAGGAGGGGUUGAGGUCAGGAGGUGAGGACAGAGAUGUGUUGAUACAGGGGAGACAGAUGGACAUCUGUGGAUUAGGUGAAGGAGGGGUUGAGGUCAGAGAUGUGUUGAUACAGGGAGACAUCUGGGUAUUAGAUGAGAGGUUGAGGUCAGGACAGAUUCUCUGAAGAGAGUAAUUUAAUGUUUGGUAUCCUGUUACCCUCUUUAUUAGCUUCCUGUGGAGCCAUGAAAUGUAGGGAUUGGAGAGAAAGGGGAGUGUCUUAAGUAGGAUGUAUAUAAACUGUGAAGUCUGAAAUCUUUAGCUGUCUGAUUUUCUGCUGUACAGAACCUUUGGGAAAUGAUUAAACUUGGUUAAAGCUUCUCUAGAGUCUGAGUUAUUUACUCUGAAAAAUAAGAACCUAACAGUGGUAUGAUAUAAGUCUAUAAUGUAAAGUCCCACUAAUGGUCUCUCAACAACAUAGUCAUGUCCUGUCCCACUAAUGGUCUCUCAACAACAUAG